RNAcentral lists this ribosomal RNA (222 nucleotides) under uncultured bacterium. RNAcentral describes it as "partial 16S ribosomal RNA". It matches the Rfam family "Bacterial small subunit ribosomal RNA", at positions 135 to 353 of the family's 1533-position model. The record is from RNAcentral.
AGGGGGAGUAACGUUCUGAAAAGAAACGCUAAUACCGCAUAACAUCAAUUUAUCGCAUGAUAGGUUGAUCAAAGGAGCAAUCCGCUGGAAGAUGGACUCGCGUCCGAUUAGCCAGUUGGCGGGGUAACGGCCCACCAAAGCGACGAUCGGUAGCCGGACUGAGAGGUUGAACGGCCACAUUGGGACUGAGACACGGUCCAAACUCCUACGGGAGGCAGCAUG